GUCGGAGUGGCGGAAUAUGGCAGACGCGCUAGGUUGAGGGCCUAGUCCGGGUUAACCGGGUGGGGGUUCAAAUCCCCCCUCCGACACAA
This 89-nucleotide transfer RNA is filed under the name Acidobacteriota bacterium. RNAcentral describes it as "Acidobacteria bacterium tRNA-Leu". It matches the Rfam family "tRNA". Rfam says of the family: Transfer RNA (tRNA) molecules are approximately 80 nucleotides in length. Their secondary structure includes four short double-helical elements and three loops (D, anti-codon, and T loops). Further hydrogen bonds mediate the characteristic L-shaped molecular structure. tRNAs have two regions of fundamental functional importance: the anti-codon, which is responsible for specific mRNA codon recognition, and the 3' end, to which the tRNAs corresponding amino acid is attached (by aminoacyl-tRNA synthetases). tRNAs cope with the degeneracy of the genetic code in two manners: having more than one tRNA (with a specific anti-codon) for a particular amino acid; and 'wobble' base-pairing, i.e. permitting non-standard base-pairing at the 3rd anti-codon position. Lineage: Bacteria; Pseudomonadati; Acidobacteriota. The record is from RNAcentral.